CCUACGGGGGGCAGCAGUGAGGAAUAUUGGUCAAUGGACGAGAGUCUGAACCAGCCACGUAGCGUGAAGGAUGACUGCCCUCUGGGUUGUAAACUUCUUUUAUAUGGGAAUAAAAUGUUCCACGUGUGGGAUUUUGUAUGUACCAUAUGAAUAAGGAUCGGCUAACUCCGUGCCAGCAGCCGCGGUAAUACGGAGGAUCCGAGCGUUAUCCGGAUUUAUUGGGUUUAAAGGGAGCGUAGGUGGAUUGUUAAGUCAGUUGUGAAAGUUUGCGGCUCAACCGUAAAAUUGCAGUUGAAACUGGCAGUCUUGAGUACAGGAGAGGUGGGCGGAAUUCGUGGUGUAGCGGUGAAAUGCUUAGAUAUCACGAAGAACUCCGAUUGCGAAGGCAGUUCACUGGACUGCAACUGACACUGAGGCUCGAAAGUGUGGGUAUCAAACAGGAUUAGAUACCCUAGUAGUC
Molecule: ribosomal RNA, 460 nt
Filed under: uncultured bacterium
Lineage: Bacteria
Description: partial 16S ribosomal RNA
Rfam family: Bacterial small subunit ribosomal RNA
Source: RNAcentral